UACAGAGGGUGCAAACGUUGUUCGGAAUUACUGGGCGUAAAGCGCGUGUAGGCGGCUUCGAAAGUCGGCUGUGAAAUCCCGCGGCUCAACCGUGGAAGUGCACUCGAUACUGCGAAGCUAGAGUCCUGGAGAGGAAGGUGGAAUGCUUGGUGUAGAGGUGAAAUUCGUAGAUAUCAAGCGGAACACCGGUGGCGAAGGCGGCCUUCUGGACAGUGACUGACGCUGAGACGCGAAAGCGUGGGGAGCAAACAGG
RNAcentral lists this ribosomal RNA (253 nucleotides) under uncultured bacterium. RNAcentral describes it as "partial 16S ribosomal RNA". It matches the Rfam family "Bacterial small subunit ribosomal RNA", at positions 524 to 776 of the family's 1533-position model. The record is from RNAcentral.